Molecule: ribosomal RNA, 434 nt
Filed under: uncultured bacterium
Lineage: Bacteria
Description: partial 16S ribosomal RNA
Rfam family: Bacterial small subunit ribosomal RNA
Source: RNAcentral
AGCGAACGCUGGCGGCAGGCUUAACACAUGCAAGUCGAGCGGGCACUUUCGGGUGUCAGCGGCGGACGGGUGAGUAACGCGUGGGAACGUGCCCUCUGGUUCGGAAUAACUCAGGGAAACUUGAGCUAAUACCGGAUACGCCCUUUUGGGGAAAGGCUUGCUGCCGGAGGAUCGGCCCGCGUCUGAUUAGCUAGUUGGUGAGGUAACGGCUCACCAAGGCGACGAUCAGUAGCUGGUCUGAGAGGAUGAUCAGCCACACUGGGACUGAGACACGGCCCAGACUCCUACGGGAGGCAGCAGUGGGGAAUAUUGGACAAUGGGCGAAAGCCUGAUCCAGCCAUGCCGCGUGAGUGAUGAAGGCCUUAGGGUUGUAAAGCUCUUUUAUCCGGGACGAUAAUGACGGUACCGGAGGAAUAAGCCCCGGCUAACUUCGU